RNAcentral lists this ribosomal RNA (468 nucleotides) under uncultured bacterium. Its description in RNAcentral is "partial 16S ribosomal RNA". It matches the Rfam family "Bacterial small subunit ribosomal RNA", at positions 28 to 507 of the family's 1533-position model. The record is from RNAcentral.
GACGAACGCUGGCGGCGUGCUUAACACAUGCAAGUCGAACGGAAAGGCCCUGCAUUUGUGGGGUGCUCGAGUGGCGAACGGGUGAGUAACACGUGAGUAACCUGCCCUUGACUUUGGGAUAACUUCAGGAAACUGGGGCUAAUACCGGAUAGGAGCUCCUGCUGCAUGGUGGGGGUUGGAAAGUUUCGGCGGUUGGGGAUGGACUCGCGGCUCAUCAUCUUGUUGGUGGGGUAGUGGCUUACCAAGGCUUUGACGGGAAGCCGGCCUGAGAGGGUGACCGGCCACAUUGGGACUGAGGAGGGGGCCAGAGGGCAACGGGAGGCAGCGGUGGGGAAUAUUGCGCAAUGGGCGGAAGCCUGAUGCAGCGACGCCGCGUGGGGGAUGACGGCCUGCGGGUUGUAAACCGCUUUCGCGUGGGACGAAGCGUGAGUGACGGUAAUGGGUAAAGAAGCACCGGCUAACUACGUG